Daphnia pulex (common water flea) is the source of this 1519-nucleotide long non-coding RNA. RefSeq lists it as uncharacterized. The record is from RefSeq and is a predicted model, not a curated record. The transcript has 4 exons. NCBI's taxonomy places the organism in Eukaryota, Metazoa, Arthropoda, Branchiopoda, Diplostraca, Daphniidae.
UUUUUUCCUGUGUUUAGUGUUAUCGCUGUAGUCUGCUUGACGGAAACGGGGCCUGUGGAAAAACCGAUUCCUGUUACUUCUGUUUUAAAAUCCGGUAAGGUGUUGGGUCUCUUCGGAAUCGAUAGACGAAUUGGACGAGUCAAGCGGCAGGAUUGAUCUUCCUACGGCAAGUGGCUGGGUAGUAGGCACAUUCAUGGAAGACUCAAAAUUGUUGGGUAAUCAAUUCAUCGUGUUUGAAACAGCUGCCCUCGUUUGGAUCUGUAGUUGAUGACUUAGUGGGCAGGAUCGAUCUUCCAACCGCUUUUAUCAUUUUUUUAUGGCUUAGUUUUAUAAGGGGGGUCGAUUUUUAAUAAAUUCUAAUCGAUAUCUUAUUUUAUUGCUAAUUAGACGAUUAAAGUAGUCUGCUAUGCUUUUGUUUUCGCACAUGUUGCAAGCCCGAUACAGAAGCAUGAUACAAGUACAGAUAAAGAGUGGUCUUUUGAAAAGGAGACUAACAUUUCAAAGAAAAACGGAACGAUAACUUUUUUGGACGUGUUCGAUAAUGGUCCUCUUUGACUUACUUCGUACUUUGCGCAGUGAAACGCCCAUUUGAUUUUUGGGUUGCCUGACCCCAUUUCCUUCCUGUCAGUGCUGCCCCUAACGGUCAUGCUUGAUUCCCCUCACUUAACAGAACGGACGACGAAAGGACAAAAAAUUUCAAAAUCACCCUACCUCGUGUAUCAUUCUUGUUCUUCUCCCAUCCACGUCAGGACUUGGAUCGCUUUUCCAUAAUUUUUUUAACGUUUGACUUCACUCUUGAUUUUACUAGUGAAAAUUUACAAAUUUUCACUAGACAUACUGGACUUCUCGGGUUUUGCACUCUUUACAGCUUUAGCACGGAGAUCCUUAAUAUCUAUUUCCUCUUCCUCAUCUUCGUCUUCCUCCUCCAUCAUGUCACCCAAAGUCAUUUAUCAUCACCCAGCAGAUACCUAAAUAUAUACAAUGUCUUCAUCUAAAGCGCAACACUUGUUAGACAGGAGCAAAAUCCACAGCUUAAAAGAAUAAAAAUAAUAGAUACGAUAAUGUUAGUGGCCAUUUCAAAGAAAAACAUCAGGAAGAGGCAAGACCCAAGAAGAAAAUGAGCCCGCCUCUGGCCGACGUGCCUCGACAAAGGGCGGCAGGAAAUAUGCGUUGUAACAUUAAGAAUUUGGAGGGAGAAAAAUGUGACGCGACAUUUCCGAAAGGUCAAACGAGACUGAGCCUUAGACAAAGGGGAGGAAUGCACUUGGCGAUGUGGCCCUUAGUUCUUACACUGUUAAAGUGUCGAAAAAAGCAAUUUCAACAAGUUGGUAACACGUGGUCUUCUUAACACGAGUCUACUAUACAUUUCCAGAUCAAGUGUAAAUAUUACUCAGCAGCAGAAUGUAAAAAACGACAUGUUCCACAUGUUCAGAAUCAUUUGCGACAUUAUCAGAACCUUGGUACAACUUUAACAAAUGCGAAAAAAAAGCUGUUCCUGAAAAACCACCGAAGAAUGGAU